GACGAACGCUGGCGGCGUGCCUAAUACAUGCAAGUAGAACGCUGAAGCGAGGAGCUUGCUCUUCUUGGAUGAGUUGCGAACGGGUGAGUAACGCGUAGGUAACCUGCCUUGUAGCGGGGGAUAACUAUUGGAAACGAUAGCUAAUACCGCAUAACAAUGGAUGACCCAUGUCAUUUAUUUGAAAGGGGCAAAUGCUCCACUACAAGAUGGACCUGCGUUGUAUUAGCUAGUAGGUGAGGUAACGGCUCACCUAGGCGACGAUACAUAGCCGACCUGAGAGGGUGAUCGGCCACACUGGGACUGAGACACGGCCCAGACUGCUACGGGAGGCAGCAGUAGGGAAUCUUCGGCAAUGGGGGCAACCCUGACCGAGCAACGCCGCGUGAGUGAAGAAGGUUUUCGGAUCGUAAAGCUCUGUUGUAAGUCAAGAACGAGUGUGAGAGUGGAAAGUUCACACUGUGACGGUAGCUUACCAGAAAGGGACGGCUAACUACGUG
This 497-nucleotide ribosomal RNA is filed under the name uncultured bacterium. RNAcentral describes it as "partial 16S ribosomal RNA". It matches the Rfam family "Bacterial small subunit ribosomal RNA", at positions 28 to 507 of the family's 1533-position model. The record is from RNAcentral.